RNAcentral lists this ribosomal RNA (537 nucleotides) under uncultured bacterium. RNAcentral's name for it is "bacterial SSU rRNA". It matches the Rfam family "Bacterial small subunit ribosomal RNA", at positions 356 to 906 of the family's 1533-position model. The record is from RNAcentral.
GGGGAAUCUUCCGCAAUGGGCGAAAGCCUGACGGAGCAACGCCGCGUGAGUGAGGAAGGCCUUCGGGUCGUAAAGCUCUGUCUUCAGGGAAGAAAAAAAUGACGGUACCUGAGGAGGAAGCCCCGGCUAACUACGUGCCAGCAGCCGCGGUAAUACGUAGGGGGCGAGCGUUGUCCGGAAUUACUGGGCGUAAAGGGCGCGUAGGCGGUUAUUUAAGUCAGAGGUGAAAACUACCGGCUUAACCGGUAGCCUGCCUUUGAAACUGGAUGACUUGAGGGCAGGAGAGGGGAGUGGAAUUCCCAGUGUAGCGGUGAAAUGCGUAGAUAUUGGGAGGAACACCAGUGGCGAAGGCGGCUCUCUGGCCUGUUUCUGACGCUGAGGCGCGAAAGCGUGGGGAGCAAACAGGAUUAGAUACCCUGGUAGUCCACGCUGUAAACGAUGGGUGCUAGGUGUAGGAGGUAUCGACCCCUUCUGUGCCGUAGUUAACACAAUAAGCACCCCGCCUGGGGAGUACGGCCGCAAGGUUGAAACUCAAAG